UACGGAGGGGGCUAGCGUUGCUCGGAAUCACUGGGCGUAAAGCGCACGUAGGCGGAUUGCUAAGUCAGGGGUGAAAUCCUGGAGCUCAACUCCAGAACUGCCUUUGAUACUGGCGAUCUUGAGUCCGGGAGAGGUGAGUGGAACUGCGAGUGUAGAGGUGAAAUUCGUAGAUAUUCGCAAGAACACCAGUGGCGAAGGCGGCUCACUGGCCCGGUACUGACGCUGAGGUGCGAAAGCGUGGGGAGCAAACAGG
This 253-nucleotide ribosomal RNA is filed under the name uncultured bacterium. RNAcentral's name for it is "partial 16S ribosomal RNA". It matches the Rfam family "Bacterial small subunit ribosomal RNA", at positions 524 to 776 of the family's 1533-position model. The record is from RNAcentral.